This 765-nucleotide non-coding RNA is filed under the name Japanagallia spinosa. Lineage: Eukaryota; Metazoa; Arthropoda; Insecta; Hemiptera; Cicadellidae. The record is from RNAcentral.
GACGGUCUAAGGGCCAAUUAUUAUGCAAUAAUUUUUAAUUAGUUUGAUUCUAGCUAAUAUAUUAGUUUAUAUGAAUAAUUAUAUGUAUAAUUUAUAUAAAUUUUUAUUUACAUCAGUAAUAAAUAUUUAUUAAGUAAGAAGUUUUAUUAAAGAUAUUUUAUUAAAAUAGAUUAAUGUUGUGCCAGCAUUCGCGGUUAUACAAUUUAUUUAUAUUAAUAAUUUAGGUUAAGAAUAAAUUUAUUUAAGUUCAGGUUUAUAAGAAUUUAAAAUUUAGGUGGAAUUUGUUUUGAGGUUAUAAUCUAUUUAAAAUUUUUUGUACACCAUAAUAUUAAACUAGGAUUAGAUACCCUAUUAUUUUUGGCUUACUAUUUACAGGACAUUAGUAGUUAUUUACUAUGAAAUUCAAAGAAUUUGGCGGUGGCUUAUUCUUUUUAGAGGAAUCUGAGCUUUAAUCGAUAAACCACGAUAUGUUUUACCUCUUAACUAUUUGUAUAUCUCUAUGUAAUAGAAUGUUUUAUAAAGAAUAUUUUCUUUUAUUUUUUGAAAUUAUUUUAGGUCAAGGUGCAGUUUUUAUGAAGGGUAGUUUGGAUUACUUUAGUUUUAUUUUUUAAUAAAUUAUUUAUUUGUCAAUAAUAUUAUUUUUAGGAUUUAAUAGUAAUUUUGAUUAUUUAAUUGAUUUGAAUUAAGUUUUAAUUCAUGUACAUAUCGCCCGUCACUCCUAUUAAAAGGAUAAGUCGUAACAAAGUAAUUUUACCGGAAGGUGAG